GCCAGCCCUCCGCCUCGAGGCCACUGGUGCUUGGGGGUGGGAAAAGAGUGACCGGGGGCAACUGAGCAAAACAUAGAACAGAAACUCCCUCUCGAAUAGAGACCCACGCACGGAAGGAUGAUACACUGUGAUUCCCCGACGUGGGCCUGCAGCAAGAGACGGGUGCUAACAGCGUCCGAGCCAAUCCAAGGAUAUUUGUUUUGUCCUAAACUUGCCGUGUGUUCUUGGAGGCGCGGGCCUCCCUGCUGUCAUCACACCUCGGAUCACCCCAGGCAAUCUCGCCCCUGUGGCUUCACCUGGGUCCAGCCAGACCUCUGCUCAGCUCUGCACGUGCUUAUCACACAUGCAGUCAAUGAACACCUCACAAAUGCAAGGUUCACAUGCAGUCUUCGAUGAACACAUCGAUCGCAUCCAGCAGUAUGUCUGUAUUGGAAAAGUCCUUCCAUAGCACCCAGUAAUGAAAAGGAAUGUGGCGGGGAGCAGUACUGGACAGUAAAACUAAAAACACCAGGAAGAUCACAGUGAGAUCAGCAGAGCCCUAGAAUGGCAAAUCCAUGACAAAGAAAAUUUCUGAUGAAUAAAAACGUGCCUGGGUCCAGGCCAGCAAU
RNAcentral lists this long non-coding RNA (608 nucleotides) under Homo sapiens (human). RNAcentral's name for it is "HSALNT0024433". The record is from RNAcentral. Lineage: Eukaryota; Metazoa; Chordata; Mammalia; Primates; Hominidae.